This 377-nucleotide ribosomal RNA is filed under the name uncultured bacterium. RNAcentral describes it as "bacterial SSU rRNA". It matches the Rfam family "Bacterial small subunit ribosomal RNA", at positions 28 to 405 of the family's 1533-position model. The record is from RNAcentral.
GACGAACGCUGGCGGCGUGCCUAACACAUGCAAGUCGAACGGAGUUGUUCCUUCGGGGACAGCUUAGUGGCGAACGGGUGAGUAACGCGUGAGAAACCUGCCUUUCAGUGGGGGACAACAGUUGGAAACGACUGCUAAUACCGCAUAAUGUGUUUGGGGGCAUCCCCGAACAACCAAAGCUUAAUGUGCUGAAAAGAUGGUCUCGCGUCUGAUUAGCUAGAUGGCGGGGUAACGGCCCACCAUGGCGACGAUCAGUAGCCGGUCUGAGAGGAUGAACGGCCACAUUGGGACUGAGAUACGGCCCAGACUCCUACGGGAGGCAGCAGUGGGGAAUAUUGGGCAAUGGGCGAGAGCCUGACCCAGCAAUGCCGCGUGAA